Long non-coding RNA from Aquila chrysaetos chrysaetos, 710 nucleotides. RefSeq lists it as uncharacterized. The transcript is spliced from 2 exons. NCBI's taxonomy places the organism in Eukaryota, Metazoa, Chordata, Aves, Accipitriformes, Accipitridae. The record is from RefSeq and is a predicted model, not a curated record.
GUUAAAUAUUUUCCAGGGGUAAAAUACUUCAUCUUAAGAAAGUGUACCUUUAAGUUGAUGUUUUUCAGCUGCUAAAAGCUGGACUCUUGUUAUGUUACUACAUCAUAAACUAACAGAGUAAGACAAUUUCCUACAUGCAAGCUUAUGUUACUAACAGAAGCUGUUUAUCGGUAACUUGUUUUUCAGUAUUACUUCAAAUCUCCAAGGCAAAAUCUGAUUGCCUAAUGAAGCUGCUUGUGUCAUAACCCCAAGGCUAAUGAUUCUAUCUUCAUAAACUUUGUGACAUGAGAAGUGCUGUCCAGCAAGCUCCACCGCAAAACAAGCGUUUUUUCCCAACAGCCCUGGAAGCAGUGUGAGUGUAGGGAGUGACACAACCGCCUGCAUCUGAGUAUUCUGAGUAGUUCUAUUGAAUUUAGUGGGUCCAGUCAGAGUAAAUAAAUCUAUGAAGCAUCAUGGCUUUCUUCAUUAAUGCUUCAGCUCAGCUGGAAGCUGCCGGCAAAAUUAAGUAUUGUUAAAAUUGUUUGGGAUGUCACAUGAUACUUCCAAAGUAUGAACUGGAAAAAUAACUAACCAUGACUUUUACUUCAAUGUGUAAUCCUGCUGUUAAAGCAAAUUGCCUUGUGAGUAAUGCAGUCACUUAAAAUAUAGUCAUUUUAUCUAUUAUAGUGCUUUUAAAAAAAUCUGAUAAAUUGUGCAUUUCCAAGAUCUGA